UGUUUCGGCUAGGGGGCCAUCCCGGCUUACCAACCCGAUGCAAACUGCGAAUACCGGAGAAUGUUAUCACGGGAGACACACGGCGGGUGCUAACGUCCGUCGUGAAGAGGGAAACAACCCAGACCGCCAGCUAAGGUCCCAAAGUCAUGGUUAAGUGGGAAACGAUGUGGGAAGGCCCAGACAGCCAGGAUGUUGGCUUAGAAGCAGCCAUCAUUUAAAGAAAGCGUAAUAGCUCACUGGUCGAGUCGGCCUGCGCGGAAGAUGUAACGGGGCUAAACCAUGCACCGAAGCUGCGGCAGCGACACUAUGUGUUGUUGGGUAGGGGAGCGUUCUGUAAGCCUGUGAAGGUGGCCUGUGAGGGUUGCUGGAGGUAUCAGAAGUGCGAAUGCUGACAUAAGUAACGAUAAAGCGGGUGAAAAGCCCGCUCGCCGGAAGACCAAGGGUUCCUGUCCAACGUUAAUCGGGGCAGGGUGAGUCGACCCCUAAGGCGAGGCCGAAAGGCGUAGUCGAUGGGAAACGGGUUAAUAUUCCCGUACUUGGUGUUACUGCGAAGGGGGGACGGAGAAGGCUAUGUUGGCCGGGCGACGGUUGUCCCGGUUUAAGCGUGUAGGUG
Molecule: ribosomal RNA, 613 nt
Filed under: Salmonella enterica subsp. enterica serovar Poona
Lineage: Bacteria; Pseudomonadati; Pseudomonadota; Gammaproteobacteria; Enterobacterales; Enterobacteriaceae
Description: partial 23S ribosomal RNA
Rfam family: Bacterial large subunit ribosomal RNA
Source: RNAcentral